GGGGCAAUGUAGCCAUAAGACCCAGCAAACCAUGAAUAAUUUGCUUCUGAGUUGGAGCCAGAAUCCUCCACUAGUGCCUUUGCCAGUCCAAAAUCCCCCAGAUGUGCCUCCAUAUUGGAAUCCAGCAGCACAUUGCUUGAUUUGAUAUCUCUAUGGACGAGCCUUGGCACACAGUCAUGGUGGAGGUACUCCACUCCCUCAGUUAAUCCAACGGCUAUCUUCAACCUUGCCUCCCAGUCCAGGCUUUUCUUCUUCUUGAUAUUAACUGGUGAUUGUCGAUGCAACCAAUCCCACACACUUCCAUUCUCCAUAUACUCGUAUAUCAAAAGAUUAGAACCAGCUCCUUUGUUAGUACAGUAUCCCAGUAACUUCACCAAAUGCCUGUGCUUGAUACUCCCAAGUGUCGUUACUUCUCUCAUGAAGCUUUUGUUAAGCAAAAAAUCAUCUUUACACAGAAUCCUCUUAACUGCUACUGUUUCUCCAGUGGGCAAUUCAGCUUUGUAGAUUGUCCCAGACCCUCCUGAACCGAUGAUGAACUCGUCGCUCAAAUUAUUAGUAGCUUCCAUAAUGUCUUCCCAUCUGAAAUCUCUCUUCGCAAUGCCAUGCUGGAAUAGUGGUCUGCGCUGUGCUUUGGAAGAAGUGGAAGAGUAAAUGCAGUUCAGUUCACUUCCUCUUCUCAAAGAUUCUCGCUUCUGUUUGAAGAAGAGACCAAGUCCAAGUACCAAUAGAGCAAUUGCAGCUAAGGUUGUAAUUGCUGAGAUUACCACCACCGUUGAUUCACUUAGCCCAGACCGUUGAUUGCCAGAAUCAAAACCAUUGCAGUGAUUAAGAGGGCUUCUGCAAAGUUGCAGGUUUCCUUCGAAUGCUUCAGCAGGCCAGUGUGAGAAUUGCUUGCCUAAUGUCCCUUGAAGGUUGUUGAAGGAGAGAUUAAGCCUGCCUAGGCUGCUCAUCUGCCCAACCUGGGGAGGGACUUCUCCCACAAGUUGGUUGUGGGACAGAUCAAGAGCUUCAAGUUUGGACAAUGUUCCAAUAGAAGGUGGGAUUUGACCACUGAAAUUAUUAUAGCUAAGGUCCAACAUGCUUUGAAGAUUCUGGAGCUGGCCAAGCUCAACAGGUAUUUCGCCGCUGAAGCUGUUACGUGACAAGCGAAGUUCAUACAACUUACUUAACCUACCAACGGCCUGGGGGAUUGGGCCUGAUAAUUGGUUGUCGUUAAGGUUGAGAACUUCAAGGGAUUCCAAUCUACCAAUCUCAACAGGAAGAGUUCCAUUCAGUGAAUUGCCAUCAAGAGAAAGGACCAAUAAUUUAGAACAAUUGAAUAGCUCUGGAGGAAGGGACCCAGUAAACUGGUUGGAGGAGAGCUUUAGCUCCCCUAAUUGUGGUAACAUGCCA
This 1392-nucleotide unclassified non-coding RNA is filed under the name Hevea brasiliensis (rubber tree). Lineage: Eukaryota; Viridiplantae; Streptophyta; Magnoliopsida; Malpighiales; Euphorbiaceae. The record is from RNAcentral.